RNAcentral lists this ribosomal RNA (464 nucleotides) under uncultured bacterium. RNAcentral describes it as "partial 16S ribosomal RNA". It matches the Rfam family "Bacterial small subunit ribosomal RNA", at positions 339 to 795 of the family's 1533-position model. The record is from RNAcentral.
CUACGGGCGGCUCCAGUGGGGAAUAUUGCACAAUGGGCGCAAGCCUGAUGCAGCCAUGCCGCGUGUAUGAAGAAGGCCUUCGGGUUGUAAAGUACUUUCAGCGGGGAGGAAGGGAGUAAAGUUAAUACCUUUGCUCAUUGACGUUACCCGCAGAAGAAGCACCGGCUAACUCCGUGCCAGCAGCCGCGGUAAUACGGAGGGUGCAAGCGGUAAGCGGAAUUACUGGGCGUAGAGCGCACGCAGGCGGUUUGUUAAGUCAGAUGUGAAAUCCCCGGGCUCAACCGGGGAACUGCAUCUGAUACUGGCAAGCUUGAGUCUCGUAGAGGGGGGUAGAAUUCCAGGUGUAGCGGUGACAUGCGUAGAGAUCUGGAGGAAUACCGGUGGCGAAGGCGGCCCCCUGGACGAAGACUGACGCUCAGGUGCGAAAGCGUGGGGAGCAAACAGGAUUAGAUACCCCCGUAGUC